This 200-nucleotide long non-coding RNA is filed under the name Hordeum vulgare. Its description in RNAcentral is "long non-coding RNA (HVUL_LNC016807)". Lineage: Eukaryota; Viridiplantae; Streptophyta; Magnoliopsida; Poales; Poaceae. The record is from RNAcentral.
UUUAGUUAGCUUGGUUAGUUAGGUUAUUAGUUAGUUAGCUUAAUAGAAAGAAGAGGAAGAAGUAGAAGAAGAGGAGGAGGAGAAUAGGAGAGGAGGAGAAGGAGGAGGAGAAGAAGAAGAAGAAGAAGAAGAAGAAGAGAAAAAAACAAGAAGGAGAAGAAGAGAAGAAGAAGAGAAGAAGAGAAGAAGACAUAAUUAGC